RNAcentral lists this ribosomal RNA (440 nucleotides) under uncultured bacterium. RNAcentral describes it as "partial 16S ribosomal RNA". It matches the Rfam family "Bacterial small subunit ribosomal RNA", at positions 338 to 795 of the family's 1533-position model. The record is from RNAcentral.
CCUACGGGCGGCAGCAGUGGGGAAUAUUGCACAAUGGGGGAAACCCUGAUGCAGCGACGCCGCGUGAGUGAAGAAGUAAUUCGUUAUGUAAAGCUCUAUCAGCAGGGAAGAAAAUGACGGUACCUGAGUAAGAAGCCCCGGCUAACUACGUGCCAGCAGCCGCGGUAAUACGUAGGGGGCAAGCGUUAUCCGGAUUUACUGGGUGUAAAGGGAGCGUAGACGGCAGUGCAAGUCUGGAGUGAAAGGCGGGGGCUCAACCCCCGGACUGCUCUGGAAACUGUACGGCUGGAGUGCAGGAGAGGUAAGUGGAAUGCCUAGUGGAGCGGUGAAAUGCGUAGAUAUUAGGAGGAACACCGGUGGCGAAGGCGGCCUGCUGGACGAUGACUGACGCUGAGGCUCGAAAGCGUGGGGAGCAAACAGGAUUAGAUACCCUGGUAGUC